GAAAUGUUAGCUUGGCAGUCUUGACGUCCUUCAAAGUCGGAUAACUCCUGACAGGUUGUGGUAGAAGCUUCAGAGGAACCACAUUCUGUAGCUGAAAUGUUUUCCCAAGGAGAAGAACUGCUGGUGUGAGCUGCAGUGAGGAGUCUCUGUUGUGGUCUCAUUUGUUGACGACCCCUGCAGUAUAUCCUCUCUCUCUCUGGUGUCUGGUGUCAAGUUUCAUUGCGCGGCAUCGUUCCCUGAGUGACUGAAAGUUCGUGCUCAACCAACUGCUGCGGAGGUGCAGCUUUUAAUAAACAGAAAAGCCCUGCA
This is a long non-coding RNA of Centropristis striata (black sea bass), 309 nucleotides long. RefSeq lists it as uncharacterized. The record is from RefSeq and is a predicted model, not a curated record. The transcript is spliced from 4 exons. Lineage: Eukaryota; Metazoa; Chordata; Actinopteri; Perciformes; Serranidae.